GCGAUAACAUAUGCAAGUCGAACGAUGAACCUCCUUCGGGAGGGGAUUAGUGGCGAACGGGUGAGUAACACGUGGGCAAUCUGCCCUUCACUCUGGGACAAGCCCUGGAAACGGGGUCUAAUACCGGAUACGACCUCCGACCGCAUGGUCUGGUGGUGGAAAGCUCCGGCGGUGAAGGAUGAGCCCGCGGCCUAUCAGCUUGUUGGUGGGGUGAUGGCCUACCAAGGCGACGACGGGUAGCCGGCCUGAGAGGGCGACCGGCCACACUGGGACUGAGACACGGCCCAGACUCCUACGGGAGGCAGCAGUGGGGAAUAUUGCACAAUGGGCGAAAGCCUGAUGCAGCGACGCCGCGUGAGGGAUGACGGCCUUCGGGUUGUAAACCUCUUUCAGCAGGGAAGAAGCGAGAGUGACGGUACCUGCAGAAGAAGCGCCGGCUAACUACGUGCCAGCAGCCGCGGUAAUACGUAGGGCGCAAGCGUUGUCCGGAAUUAUUGGGCGUAAAGAGCUCGUAGGCGGCUUGUCGCGUCGGAUGUGAAAGCCCGGGGCUUAACCCCGGGUCUGCAUUCGAUACGGGCAGGCUAGAAUUCGGUAGGGGAGAUCGGAAUUCCUGGUGUAGCGGUGAAAUGCGCAGAUAUCAGGAGGAACACCGGUGGCGAAGGCGGAUCUCUUGGCCGAUACUGACGCUUAAGAACC
RNAcentral lists this ribosomal RNA (696 nucleotides) under Streptomyces hygroscopicus. RNAcentral describes it as "bacterial SSU rRNA". It matches the Rfam family "Bacterial small subunit ribosomal RNA", at positions 44 to 755 of the family's 1533-position model. The record is from RNAcentral. Lineage: Bacteria; Bacillati; Actinomycetota; Actinomycetes; Kitasatosporales; Streptomycetaceae.